Long non-coding RNA from Neofelis nebulosa (Clouded leopard), 1928 nucleotides. RefSeq lists it as uncharacterized. Lineage: Eukaryota; Metazoa; Chordata; Mammalia; Carnivora; Felidae. The record is from RefSeq and is a predicted model, not a curated record. The transcript is spliced from 3 exons.
AUGAGGAGCUGGUGCAGCAUAAAGGUAGGUUCUAGCUAGUGGCCGGGAUUUGGCAGCAACAGCAAUGGCUGUACCCAGUCUCCAGAGAUGGUCGUCGCAGUGGCUCAAGCGCCGCAGUGGACCCCCAGCAGAGGUGGGGGAAGCGCUGCGUUACAACAUAAUGUGCUCUGUGACUGCCAUGGUGGCAUCCACCAGACUGGCUCCGUAGCCCCCCUUGGGGCUUGUGCUUGGCUGCCUGUCCCCAGCCACAGUUUCCGGGGCUCCCAGAGACAUUGUGAUUCGCCCUACAUCAGCUGAAGCUUAAGUGAUCAAGUGUUAGUUUCUGUGCCUUGCCCUCGAAGACCCACCUGAUGCAAUGCCUUUCUGUGACCAGCACAGAGAGGACUGGUAAAGCAGAUAAAAAGAAAAUGAAGCAACCUACAGUAAAAGACAAACAAGAAAGAAAGAAGGAAAGGAAAAGAAAGGAAAGGACAGGACAGGAAAGGAAGGAAAAGAGAAAAGAGAAGAGAAAAGGAAAGAGAAGGAAAAGGAAAAGAAAAGAACCAAAAAGCACAUGGAUACCUGGUGGAUUCAUGCAGGGCUAAAUGUUUAUCCAUUAAAACAAAAUGGGUAAAAUCAACAUGAUUUUUGAAACGAUCUCCCUUUUAAAAAUGGCAUGCACGUUUGAGAAGACCUGACUGCAAUCUCGUCCGUGAACAUGACCAGGGAAAAUUUAUGAAGGUAACAUGCCUGAGCCGCUUUCCCAAAAAAAGAGGAAAUCUGUGCAGUGAAAGGAGGCUAAAUGCUAGAGAAGCAGUGAGCAGUGCAUUGGGCGCUGCAGUGUCUUUGGCUGUGCUUAACUUCCAAACAAAAAGAGGUGGAGAAGGAAUGAAAGCAGACGUAAUUUGCGGACUGCCGGGUACUCCGGGGGCUUCACACAGUAACCUGAAGAUUUAGGCCCAGGAAGGGCAACACUGGUUAAGCCAUGCCAGCGGGGUGGCACUUUGUUGAAGCUAUUUUACUUCCUUGGCUGGGAAUUCAUACCUGCCCAUGGAUUAUCUUUUUGAUUAUGACUUGGCUUCCCAUGGGAAUUCUUAUCACCACCUCCACACCCAUUCAUCGUCAUGGCUCCCAUUUGGUUAUUGCUUCUGCCAUGUUCUGUCCUCCCUUUCCUGGGAUGAAUACCUGUGCAACAUGUCCCCACAGUCCUUAGAGGCCUCCAGAUAAAUGCAGAGAAGUGGAAUGGCUGAUUCAAAGGAUGGAAAGUUUUAGAACUUUUGGUACAGAUUUUCCGGAAGAACUAAGUACCAAUAGCUCCCUCCAGCAGUGGGCUUGCCUGACUUUGCGACUUAUGCCUAGUAACAGUCAGGCUGAUUUCCAUUUUCUGGGCACUGGUGCUCUGCCCACAGUUUAUAGUCGUGUCUCCUAUAGUCCCACCAACAACCUUGCAAGGUUGGCCUUCUUUCCCCACGCAAACAAGAGUGAAGCUCAAAGAGACCCAGUUGGGCAGAGUUACAAAGCAAGGAACGAGGCGUGCUGGAAUUGGAAGUCACUUCAGGUCUAUCCGGCCUGUCUGCGUCCCACACUCAAACUAUAGGUGGCUCCUUACUCAGGAGAGGGAAUAACCUGUUCUUUCAUUCUGUUCCCAUCCUACCUCGGUGGGUUCUAUUUCCAGAGUGUACUUGAGCCUCACAGGGCUUCCCUGUCCUGCUCCAUUCUGUUUAGAAUGAGCUUCUGAAUCUACCUAUUAUGAGGUCCUCCUGGCUUUGAUUGACAGGCGAUAUCUUUUAAAGUGAAAAGUAUUAUGUUUGGGUCUUCCUUUAGAUGGUGAAUAUAAGAUCAGGGCUCCUCAGUCCUGUCUGGGCCGUGAGCCAGCACAGAUCUUGAGUUAUCUUUGUGUCCCGCUUCGAGGCCCCGGCCACAGAAAGGGCAGGACAGGAUGGGGGAAG